Molecule: RNA transcript, 1169 nt
Organism: Leptopilina heterotoma
Lineage: Eukaryota; Metazoa; Arthropoda; Insecta; Hymenoptera; Figitidae
Exons: 2
Source: RefSeq, a predicted model, not a curated record
GUCUUCCGGCUUCUUUCUCAUUGCAAGCUCUCUUCUCUCCAUAUCUCUUCAUCUCAUCUCGUCGUUUUUUUUUCUCUUUCUCUCUUUCUCUUUCGUUCCUCCUACUCCUGCUUGCCUCCUACUCGACCUUCCUUUGGGCCUCUUGCCCCUGAUCACUUCAAGUCUUCCUCUGACUGCGUUUUAACCUGGUCGGACAAUCCACGCUCCACUUCUUCGGCAGUCUCCCAGAUACCUUUUGUUGAAUUAGAUCAUUGGUACCCUUCGACCUUAAUUCCUCUCUUUUCUUAUCAAUCGCCUAUUCCUUAGUGCUGAUAUUCCCUUUUAUUUUUAUUUUUCUCCUUUUCGUCGUUUUUCCUUUUUUUCUAUUUUCUCAUUCUCUUCCUACCCCCACCUUCGGAAUCCUCGUGGUCCUUUCGCCAAGUUCCGCCGGAAGGAACUCUCGGAAGUACAACUUCAAGUUUUUCUCUCUCAAUAUUUUUUCACCUUUGGACAAUUUUUGUUUAUUCUCACCCCUUGAGAAAAUUUAAUUGUUUUCCUCUUUUCGGAAAAAAUUUUUGAAAUAAAUUUUCAAAAUUCAAGUGUUUCAAGACGGCAGUGCUUUUAUUAAUAGAAAGUGAGUUUUUUUUUUUAGAAUAAAAAAGUGGUUUUUUGAUGAGAUUAAAUUGAGUGGGGGAGGAGGAGGGGGAUAAUAUUUGACUAGGAUUUUGUUUUCCUUGGGAAUUGUGAUAUGAAAGUGAGCAUUUAUUUCUCAAGGUGUCAACAACUGUGUGCAAUUGUGUGUCGAAUUCACUGACAUUGUCGUCGAUAGUGUAAGAGUGGAAAAUUGAAUUUAGUUGAGCGCCUUGGCACGUGCUUCUGACAGUAAAACGUCUACGGGAUAGAGUACUAUACGCAAGAGAAGGGAAUAUUUCAUGAAUGGAGAAAUUUUUUUUCAACCCAUAGUGCUUGUCGAAUAUUGAGAGGGAGCUUGUUAAAAAAUGAUGGUGAAUUAUUGCGCAAUUGUGCCUUGUGUUUCGUGUGGAAUUUAUCGCUGAAGGAUUUUCAAAUUUUUGAAACGAAGGGGAGAAUCGAGAUCAAUCGUUGAAAAUUCAGCAAUAACUGGAAGCAGAAAUGAGAUAUCGCUUGUCGCAACUUUCGCUUUGCAAUCGAGAAUAUCCAUUUCUCGGUGU